CGAGUAGACUGGAUGGUCGCAGACAUGAUCGCCGCGAGGCGGUGUCUGAGGAAAGUCCGAGCUCCAUAGGGCAGGGUGCUGGGUAAUACCCAGUGGGGGCAACCUCAAGGAAAGUGCCACAGAAACAUACCGCUCCGUAACGGGGACCACCCCGCGCGGGGUAAGGGUGAAACGGUGCGGUAAGAGCGCACCAGCGGCCGGGCGACCGACCGGCUAGGUAAACCCCACCCGGAGAAAGACCAAAUAGGAGGGGGAUGACGUGGCCCGCUGAACCCCUCGGGUUUAGGUCGCUUGAGGCCACCGGCAACGGUGGUCCCAGAUAGAUGGCCAUCCACGACAGAACUCGGCUUACAGGUCUACUCGCCCG
RNAcentral lists this RNase P RNA (367 nucleotides) under Clostridia bacterium. Its description in RNAcentral is "RNase P RNA component class A". It matches the Rfam family "Bacterial RNase P class A". From Rfam's summary of the family: Ribonuclease P (RNase P) is a ubiquitous endoribonuclease, found in archaea, bacteria and eukarya as well as chloroplasts and mitochondria. Its best characterised activity is the generation of mature 5'-ends of tRNAs by cleaving the 5'-leader elements of precursor-tRNAs. Lineage: Bacteria; Bacillati; Bacillota; Clostridia. The record is from RNAcentral.